UUUUAGUCAACCAUAUCAGAGGAGCAAUAACUCUAAGGAAAUGCUAGAUGCCUAGCUUCAACUCUCUACUUACUGUAGAAAUCGUAUUGUGACACUUCACAAGUCACACAGACAUGCCCUGAAGUCGAACUCAUAUUACAGAACUUGGCCUCUAUGCCGUGUUCUUUUAUCCUUCUCUCUGUUUCUGAACUAUUCUACGCUUUUGCUGUGCCACUCUGAUCUUUGCCUGC
Molecule: long non-coding RNA, 230 nt
Filed under: Manihot esculenta (cassava)
Lineage: Eukaryota; Viridiplantae; Streptophyta; Magnoliopsida; Malpighiales; Euphorbiaceae
Description: long non-coding RNA (MESC_LNC009204)
Source: RNAcentral